This 343-nucleotide unclassified non-coding RNA is filed under the name soil metagenome. RNAcentral describes it as "partial contains 5.8S ribosomal RNA, internal transcribed spacer 2, and large subunit ribosomal RNA". The stretch from base 1 to 120 matches the Rfam family "5.8S ribosomal RNA", at positions 35 to 154 of the family's 154-position model. The record is from RNAcentral.
GAUGAAGAACGCAGCGAAAUGCGAUAAGUAAUGUGAAUUGCAGAAUUCAGUGAAUCAUCGAAUCUUUGAACGCACAUUGCGCCCGCUAGUAUUCUGGCGGGCAUGCCUGUCCGAGCGUCAUUUCAACCCUCAAGCCCCCGGGCUUGGUGUUGGGGAUCGGCGAGCCUCCGCGCCCGCCGUCCCCUAAAUCUAGUGGCGGUCUCGCUGUAGCUUCCUCUGCAUAGUAGCACACCUCGCACUGGGAAACAGCGCGGCCACGCCGUUAAACCCCCAACUUCUGAACGUUUGACCUCGGAUCAGGUAGGAAUACCCGCUGAACUUAAGCAUAUCAAUAAGCGGAGGA